AGGAUUUUAGUUAAUAUAUAACAUUUAAAUUGCAUUUAAAAAUUAUAUUUAUAAAUAUAAAUCUUU
Molecule: transfer RNA, 66 nt
Filed under: Acropyga fuhrmanni
Lineage: Eukaryota; Metazoa; Arthropoda; Insecta; Hymenoptera; Formicidae
Description: tRNA-Ala
Source: RNAcentral